AAUUGGAGGAUAGACUACUCAUUCAUAUUCAGAGCCACAUAUAAGUACUAUAUAUCUUUACUGAAUAUGUUUAAAUUUUAACCUUUUAGAGUCUAACAUUUAUUGUUCAAUUUACAGCAUAUUUAUAGUGCCUGAGGUGCCUCGUGUGAUUACUGACAUCAUUUGAUGAUUGAUGCCGAGAUCAGUGAAUAAGUUCUCUAGUUGGCCGUCGAAGGCUCGUGAUGCAACUUGAGAGAUAUUUUUGGUACGUCAAAGAUGUUUAAUUUUUAAAUUUAUAAUAGAUUUAUAUUCUAUUUAUUAAUAUAUGGUUGCUUCUAUUUGCAGAGGUACUAUCAAUUCAAAAUUUCUUAGGAUGAGGAGGCUGGC
RNAcentral lists this long non-coding RNA (366 nucleotides) under Elaeis guineensis (African oil palm). RNAcentral's name for it is "long non-coding RNA (EGUI_LNC030510)". The record is from RNAcentral. Lineage: Eukaryota; Viridiplantae; Streptophyta; Magnoliopsida; Arecales; Arecaceae.